GGAGUAGGCUGAAAUACAAGUCAGAUGUGAAAUUCCGGUGCUUACCAUCGGAGCUGCAUCUGAGACUGUUUUUCUUGAGGAUGGACGGAGAAAACGGAAUUCCACGUGUAGCGGUGAAAUGCGUAGAUAUGUGGAGGAACACCUGUGGCGAAAGCGGUUUUCUAGUUUAUUCCUGACGCUGAGGCCCGAAAGCUAGGGGAGCAAACAGGAUUAGAUACCCUGGUAGUCC
This 229-nucleotide ribosomal RNA is filed under the name uncultured bacterium. Its description in RNAcentral is "partial 16S ribosomal RNA". It matches the Rfam family "Bacterial small subunit ribosomal RNA", at positions 568 to 796 of the family's 1533-position model. The record is from RNAcentral.